AGAGAAUAGAUACCCGGGUAGUCCACGCUGUAAACGAUGAUUACUCGAUGUUGGCGAUACACAGUCAGCGUCUGAGCGAAAGCAAUAAGUAAUCCACCUGGGGAGUACGAUCGCAAGAUUGAAACUCAAAGGAAUUGACGGGGGCCCGCACAAGCGGAGGAGCAUGUGGUUUAAUUCGAUGAUACGCGAGGAACCUUACCUGGGCUCGAACGUAAGAUGACUGUAGGUGAAAAGCUUACAUCUCUUCGGAGCAUUUUACGAGGUGCUGCAUGGUUGUCGUCAGCUCGUGCCGUGAGGUGUCGGGUUAAGUCCCAUAACGAGCGCAACCCCUACCUUUAGUUGCCAACAGGUCAUGCUGGGGACUCUAAAGGAACUGCCUACGCAAGUAGUGAGGAAGGCGGGGAUGACGUCAAAUCAGCACGGCCCUUACGUCCAGGGCUACACACGUGCUACAAUGGCCGAUACAGAGGGCAGCUACCUGGUGACAGGAUGCAAAUCUCCAAAGUCGGUCUCAGUUCGGA
This 521-nucleotide ribosomal RNA is filed under the name uncultured bacterium. Its description in RNAcentral is "bacterial SSU rRNA". It matches the Rfam family "Bacterial small subunit ribosomal RNA", at positions 774 to 1297 of the family's 1533-position model. The record is from RNAcentral.